AUGGGUGGCAUGAGAGGAAGGAUGGGAAUCAGCUACUUGCAUUCGCACGGAGGAGGCAACGUCGACGUGAUGGCACAUCAGAGGAGGCUGGGCUCGUUGUGGAGCUUCUUGAGGCAGCAGGACGUCGGCGAGAGCAUCGCUGCCGGCAACGGCUUGAGUGACCUCUUGAGGAUCUUCUCCAUGAGCACCUGGGACGACACCAACUCCAACAUCAUGUUCUCAGCGCCCGGCAGCAAGAAGGCCGAGGUGCUCGGCGACAGCGAUGUCGGCAUGGUCACUAGCUUCAGCAACAUUGACUCCCAGAUUCAGUUAGCCCUCUCGAGCUGGACAUGCCCAGCAUGGACGACUACCUGCAGCUGCAGCAGGACUCCGCCGACUGCAGAGUCCACGCCAAGCGUGGCUGCACCACUGAUCCGCAGAGCAUCGCUUGGGAGGGAAAGAAGAACAAGGAUCAACCAGAGGCUAAGGAGGCUGCAAGACCUCAUUCCCUACAUGGACAAGGUCACAAGGCCAAUACACAUUCAGGAAAUAUGUGACCAACUUUCCCAAGGUCUCGCAUCAUCUACUCAGGAUAUUCUGUGCCCUAAGCCCUACAGAAUAAUGCCCAGUCUAAUUUCAACAGUGGGACAACCUCAAACUUCUCUCUUCAAUAUUGAAGAAGCGGCUUACUCAGAUCCAUGGGCAUGCACUUAG
RNAcentral lists this ribosomal RNA (693 nucleotides) under Triticum aestivum (bread wheat). RNAcentral's name for it is "partial small subunit ribosomal RNA". Lineage: Eukaryota; Viridiplantae; Streptophyta; Magnoliopsida; Poales; Poaceae. The record is from RNAcentral.